AGAAAAAAGAAAAAUUUGAAGAAAAGGGAGAAGAAAUUCUGCACACAAGUUGAAAAGAAUAUCGGGAAGGAACCCGAGGAAACGAGUCGAGGCUAAGGGACGACUCGCUUGAGAUAAAAGCAAGGAGAAAGCAGCAGAGUGAGCUGCGGAAUUGACAAGAUCUUUUUGAUCCCUUUUUGUACGGGUAUUAUUUUAUACCCUUAUGGUUAUUUUGAUGUAAAUACUGUAAUGUCAUAAGUAUCAAUGUAAAUUGAGCAGUUGUAAAUAAACUAUAAUAAUAUUAUUUUAGAUUUUCUUCUGUAAAUUUAAUAUUUGUACAUAUGGAUUUUCUGCCUUA
Hevea brasiliensis (rubber tree) is the source of this 337-nucleotide long non-coding RNA. RefSeq lists it as uncharacterized. The record is from RefSeq and is a predicted model, not a curated record. The transcript is spliced from 3 exons. Lineage: Eukaryota; Viridiplantae; Streptophyta; Magnoliopsida; Malpighiales; Euphorbiaceae.